This 775-nucleotide long non-coding RNA is filed under the name Ananas comosus (pineapple). RNAcentral's name for it is "long non-coding RNA (ACOM_LNC023468)". Lineage: Eukaryota; Viridiplantae; Streptophyta; Magnoliopsida; Poales; Bromeliaceae. The record is from RNAcentral.
GCGCGUCCCCCGCCGUCCCCGCGCGCCGCCGGCCGCCGCUGGAACCUCCUGUGGCCGCCCAGACACGUGCGGGCCGAGGUCGGGCCCGCUCGGCUUCCAAGCGCCGCCGCCGCCCACCGUGGGGUGCAUCGCCUUCCCCUCGGCCUCCGGCGCCGCACCGUAGCCACCCCGACCUCCUCCGGCCGCCGCCGCGCCGCCGGGAAGCUCGAACCCGAGAGGGAGUUGGGGGAGUGGAUCUCAGCCGCCCCGCCACCGGUUGCCGCCCGCCGCCGGCCAGCACCCUCCCCGGACCUCUCGGACCGACUGCUCCCUCCUCCGGCCGGACCGCCCGCCUCCCGGCCGCCGGCGGCCAACCCUAGCUCCCUGCACUCCGGUAUGCUAUUGUUGUAUGUUCCAGCACUGUAGUUUAGGGUUCCGGUCACCUUUCUGGUGGUCCGAGGACACUCCGAUAAUCCGGGAGGUGAGCACGAUGAUCCUUACCUCGUGCUGAACAUCAUGCUCACCUCCGACAGCGGCAAAGAUGCCCUGGUUAGUGAGUUAGUCGCGAACUUCGCGCUGUGCGCGCAGUUUAACAGAGCUUCGCGUCGCUCGUGCGCGCACCGCAGUGGCCGGCAGUGCUCCGAAAGGUGAGCACGGCCUCCGACAUGCUGAAACCUGUCAGCGAGUGCGACGGUCGGAUUAAUCGACCUCUGGUUUGCGUGCACGGUCCAGAAAAGCCUAGAAAUCACAUGAAAUGAUGCGAUUUCUUGUAUCGGUAUGGGCUUUUAGGAUUUCU